UUGGCUGUGGAAAUUGCGUUGAAUGAGAGACAAUUUCGCACGUUGAGCACACAGUUGUGUGACUCGUUUAUUGAGUUAGAGAAAACAGGAAAUCAAAACGUGCUGCAAGUAAACAAAUCCCGCAUCGGGCUCUGACGUCAUGAGACGCUCGUAAUCCUUAAAAGGGACAGCGAUCCCUGAACCACCAAGACAGUAAACGACAUGCCUAACACAGUGGAAAGAACAACACAUAACAAAAUACUGCAGGUGAAUUAUGUUACACUCACUACAAGGCAAUCUUUUUGUAAAUAGGCAGGAACAUUACGGAACAUUUUCAAACAACAAUCCAGAUUCCGAUAUCUCAUCACUCUGCAAACUCCCAUGUGCCCAUCUGAAUUUCAGGCAACCCCAAGUUUAGGAGCUCACCUGGGUGAACGGUCAGCUCUGUGGUGGUAGGAAGGAUGAUUUGGAUAUCCUGAUUAGCCGGCUGCUCUGCAGGGGGAUAACCACAAAGAGAUAAGAGACCAUUAAUACACCAUUAUGAUGCACAUUAAUGCUGGGACGACGCGUCGACGUAAUCGAUGACGUCGACGCAUAAAUUACGUCGACGCGAAAAAUGCGCGUUGAUUAAAAAAGAAAAAAAGAAAAAAAAAAACACACUCGUUCCUCUAAAGUAUGGGAAUUCUUUAAUGUGAAAGGAAACGAUUCCGUGAUACGUCGUCUUUGCAAAAUGGAGAUGACUUUACAUUCUAGCACCCCGGCAAUUCACCAGCACCUGAAGAGGCGCCACCCGGUAGCAGCUGCAGAUGACCGAGCACCGUAGAAUUCUAAGAAUGCAUUACUUUGCACUUUUAUUUUGGAAUUUAAAGGCAAUAAACAUGUAUUGAAAUGUUAA
Gadus macrocephalus (Pacific cod) is the source of this 874-nucleotide long non-coding RNA. RefSeq lists it as uncharacterized. Lineage: Eukaryota; Metazoa; Chordata; Actinopteri; Gadiformes; Gadidae. The transcript is spliced from 2 exons. The record is from RefSeq and is a predicted model, not a curated record.